UACGGAGGGGGCUAGCGUUGUUCGGAAUUACUGGGCGUAAAGCGCGCGUAGGCGGCUUUGCAAGUUAGAGGUGAAAGCCCGGAGCUUAACUCCGGAACUGCCUUUAAAACUGCAUCGCUAGAAUCGUGGAGAGGUGAGUGGAAUUCCGAGUGUAGAGGUGAAAUUCGUAGAUAUUCGGAAGAACACUAGUGGCGAAAGCGGCGCACUGGACCACAACUGACGCUGAGGCGCGAAAGCUAGGGGAGCAAACAGG
RNAcentral lists this ribosomal RNA (253 nucleotides) under uncultured bacterium. RNAcentral describes it as "partial 16S ribosomal RNA". It matches the Rfam family "Bacterial small subunit ribosomal RNA", at positions 524 to 776 of the family's 1533-position model. The record is from RNAcentral.